Molecule: non-coding RNA, 81 nt
Organism: Paragonimus heterotremus
Lineage: Eukaryota; Metazoa; Platyhelminthes; Trematoda; Plagiorchiida; Troglotrematidae
Source: the annotation of a GenBank genome assembly
GGCUUCGUAGCUCAGCUGGUAGAGCGCUUACAGCAAUUGAACAUGGUGUUUCUGUCGCUGGUUCGAAUCCAGUCGAAGUCC